AAUCCUUAUCACCAGCUCUGGCCGUCAAAACCCCGCUGCCCUCUCCAUCUCGGCUCCUGGGCAUCAGCCCCCACGCCAGAAGCUAGGGCAUCGUCCCCUUGAUGUUUCCCAUGGCCGCCUCCAGCUCCUCCCAUGGCGCCUCUCCUGUAUUUCUCUGGCCGUUAGCUGCGGCGCUCGCCGUGGGCGCUGCCGUGCCCCUGUCUAGUUCUCCACGUCGUCGCUGAGCUCGCCCCUGCCUUAGUCCGGUCGCCUCUGUUCCCUCCUCUCUGUCCGUCUGGUGGCAAGUCACCGUCGACCCUGCCAUGGUGUUGGCUGCCGCAGCACCUGCGUCCUUGCUUCGCCGGUCCGCGUAGGUCUGACCAUGGAGCUCGCCCAACUCCCUAGCCACCUCUGCUCGCCCCUCUCUAUCUCAGUUCGAGCAGCAGCACGCCGGGGCAAACCUAUGUCCGCGACACUCACCAAGUGCUCGAUGAAAUACUGCAGCGAGCUCCACCUCGAUCUGUGCAGCCCCAACCCGUGACGUCACAAUACCCUUACCCUCUGUCGAUGUCGUGCAUCGCGAGCUCGACAAAAAUCUCAAGCCCGUGGACAGCACACGCGCGACCCGAGUUUGAUUCUGCCAGGUACGUUAAUUAAUCACGUAAGGCGGAGGACCAGAGCUGAGUCGACCACAAGAUGCUAUUAAGCAUGGGCUACACCGCAUGGUGAUGCUGAUGGACGACCCUGGAGAUGGAAAAUCUAAACAAGUGCCAAAACAAAAGGAUGGUCGUCAAGUGAUCGUCGGCUAACAAACACUAACGUAGUGUUUAUUCCAGGCAAGCCCCGGUGCAUGCAAUCCCUUCCUUGUGUUUUUAAAUGAUUUUUACACACUUUAAGUCUAGUGAAAUGUGCAUUAAGUUUAUAGGAGUUGCUUGGAAACCCUUUGAUGCAUUGGCUACCUUGAAAUCCAUUCCUUUUAUAGAUACUUAUGGUGAAGUAUCAAAUAUGAUUUACAAAAUUGCUUAGCCCUGCCUAGAGGAAAAUCUUGCAGAUAGAGUUUGUCCUUUGCACUAAUGCCUAACUCAGGUUUAUCCUAAGGAAGGAUGGCUCUACCUACAAGAAUAUUUUCACCAGGAUCAUUGGGAGAUCUAAUGCAAGGUUUCCUAUGAUGUUUUAAUCAUCCUAAGGAACACAAACAAUCCUAAGGAUGGAAGUACUUAAAUCGAGACUUGGGCUAGGAACAGGUGAUGUUCUACCCAGGUUGAUUAAGGAUUAUAGGGAAUGUAGGCUUGUUGAUCGAGGACCUUUUAACUGGCCACAUGCCUCGUCAUGGGUAAGCUUUGUCUCGGUCGGACCAAUACCAGAAAGGCCACCACACAAUGUGAGUGGAGAGAUGGCGAGAAUAGCGUGUACCCUCCGUGGCAAGAGGCUGGACGGUGGUGUAUUUGUGCUCUCGGUUGGCGUGAACCCGUUCUGGUCUUGAAAAACCUAGUGGCGUGUUGACAUAUGCAAGGGUUAAGUGCUACAUAUGUCGUGUGGUUGGAGAUCCCCAGCUGGGUAUUAAUCGAUUCGGAUCGCCGUUACUUCUCGGAUAUGAAGACUUGGUCACUGCCCUGCAAUCUAAGUCAUGGAUGGAAUCAUAAUGAGCAAAAAUCAUGUUGUAUUGAUUAAUGUGAUGAUGAAAUUAGACUAGAUACAAACAAGGUCUAUUAAUACUUAAUCUAGCAUUAAAAUGUUGAAAGUAAGGACUCAUUUUAGUAAGCUUUCUUCAAACUAUUAAUGUUGAUUCUUGCUAAAAGUCUUUCCUUCAUUCCCAAAUCCAGCAUAUCCUUGAGAGUCUUUUUCCUUAGUCGGAUAAGACUUGCGAAAGUACACUUCGUACUCAGGGUUUUCGAACUCAUGUUGUUGUAGGUACUAGAUUUGUGCUGUUGUUGAUGGUGCUAAGUGCCGGUGGGCUCGGCCUUCUUAUAGGUUCUAUACUUCUUAUUGAGGAUUGUCAUUGAGCUAGCAUAUAUUUCAAACUUAUAAAUAGUUUAUAACAUUUCAAAUUUUAUUUCUUUGAAUCACUUCUGUAAUCACUCCGAUAAAUAUAAUGUAAAUUUGUUGUAACUUGUAACUUUUGUAAUAAAGAAAUUCCGCUGCAAAAAUGUUGGUGUGUGAUUUUUGUUUACUUAAUCUUGCGAUCUUGGUUGUAAGUGGUUUAUCCGAGGUCCUUGGGACACUUGGACGGAUCCUGUUAAGUUAUCUGGUGCACAUGUAUAGCCGUCUGAGGUCUUUGAGACGAGGUCAGGUGCAUGUGGGCCCAAUAACUUGGGAGGUUCUGCCACAACAGACAUGCCUCCCUGUUUGAGAUAUAAGAAUUAUUUCUUUUUAAUCUUCAUAAGACCAGCAGGAAUAUGGUAAAUCUUUGAAUUGAGUGGAGAAUUCUGCCCAGGUGAUGGUGUUGGCAGCAGCAUGAGCAGUGCAAUAUGCAUCCCACCAAUCCGUAGCUGGGCCGGUGAGGCGACCUGAUGCAUAUAACACCUUCUCUCUAUCAGAGAACUAAGCCAUGUUGAGCAUCUUGGCCACAGACUUUAACCAGUCAUCAGUUUGUAGUGGAUCCGAGGGGUUAGAAAAUGUGGGUGGCUUGUGACUCAUAAACUCACGGUGCUUAUCCUUGGGUGGAGCUACUGGUGGUGGUGGAGGUGGUGGUGGUUGUUGUGCCUUUCUAGUUGUUCUUGCCUCAUCUCAUGACACAUUUCCAGCCAUUCCGAACACAUCUCCUUGUGUUCUUGCCUCAUCUGAGUUUGCAUUUCAUUCAUCGUGUUUGCCAUCUGCUGCAACAUCUGCAUCUUAGCGACAACCACUGGAUCUGUCCCAGCCGGUGGAGGAUUCGGAGGAUUCAUUUCUGGUUGUGGUUUUCUAACAAUCCUCUUGCUAUGGUGGUUAGUAGGUAGAUCGAUACCGCCUCCCUUCCUGGUAUUGACCAUCUGGGUUAGAAAUAUGUACGGUAAGAUAGUUUUGCAAGGGAAAUUAUUUAGUAGGCAAACACAUAGGCUAGUGGCUGGUCAUAAACUGAAGGAUCAUGGCGAGGCCUGAUCUGUUGUUUUUAUGUCUAAAUUGGGAUAACUAGGCUUAUAAGGUGAAUUUCUAAAGGUAAGAUAGAAGUUGUCAAGAUAAGAUAGAUAUGUGAUAUUUUAAUGGGGAUGAUCUAUGUUGUCUAGUUAUUCUAUAAAUAUUCUCCUUUAUGCCUAGAUGUAUAUGCAAAUGCAAUUGUGGACAUUACUCCACAACUCAUCACACUCAAUCAAAGAUCCAAAUCAGACAAGUAUCAUAAGAACAACCAUUCAAGUACGUACAUACCUAAAAAAUAGUUUUGUUUUUGUUCCUAAGAGUAGGUCGCCUAUUCCUAAAGGUCACUUUAGGCACAUGAUUUCAAUGUGUGAAAUCCACUUUUGUCUUUAGAAGUGAAAAGGUAAGAGUAAUCAGAGUAAAGCAGCAGUAGAUGAGAAUAGACUAAGAAAAGUUUAGAAAGAAUCAGAGUAGCAAAGGUAAGUAGGUAAGGGUUGUGUAGUUCUAUCUAGGUUUUGUCCUAUAGUCAACAUUCCUCUGAUACCACUUCUGUCACACUCGGGUUUUAGGGACCCGGGCGCGAACCAAUUGUCCUAAAAAAUAUGACUAACCAUAUGUUUUCAGCAUAAUUAUGAAUAGUUACAGGAAGCUUUGGCUUUAGAAUGGAAAACUUCUCUCAUGACAGAACAAAGGGAAGUAAAGAGUGGGCGACAGAGCUAGAAACCAAAGGACUUCGGCUGGACAUGUUGACGAAGCUCAAGUAUGAUAACGAUUGAAGAAGGAUAAAGACCAUACAGUCCUUAAUAAUUCUUUCUAAUAUUAUAGAUAGUUACCAGGGACAUAAAUAUACUUUUAUCCGGGCUGCGUCCCGUGCCUAUAAAUAGAUGAACAGUAACACCGUACUGUUCACGCUGGAUUGUAAUCACUCUCGCAUCACCCUCGUUCUCUCACCCUUUGGCAAGCUGAAGGUACCAAUGUAAUAUGAAUAUUGUUGAUGUUUAUUCAUGUUUAUGGAAUAUAAGAAUAAAUGGAUCAUUGAUACAUAACAAUUAUUAUCUCUUUUGUAUUUCUUCGUUUUCUUAUUUGCAUUCACGUUAAUAUGUUGAAAUGAUGAAGGUAUGUCCAUCAUAACCUUCGU
Zea mays is the source of this 4168-nucleotide long non-coding RNA. RefSeq lists it as uncharacterized. The record is from RefSeq and is a predicted model, not a curated record. The transcript has 3 exons. NCBI's taxonomy places the organism in Eukaryota, Viridiplantae, Streptophyta, Magnoliopsida, Poales, Poaceae.